AACCUGGUUGAUCUUGCCAGUAGUCAUAUGCUUGUCUCAAAGAUUAAGCCAUGCAAGUGAAAGUAUAUGCAUAUUUAAUAUGUAGAAACUGCGAACGGCUCAUUAAAACAGUUAUAAUCUACUUGACAUUUUAUUAUAAGGAUAACUACGGAAAAUCUGUAGCUAAUACUUGUAAAAGUACAUUACUCCUCGGAGUAAAGUACGUAUUUGUUAAGACCCCCAAGAAAAAAUGAUAUUAAAGGAAUUAUAACAAAGAAGUUACACCACAACAACCGUUAUAGUGUGUAUCAAUCGAGUUUCUGACCUAUCAGCUUUUGAUGUUAGGGUAUUGACCUAACAUGGCUUUGACGGGUAACGGGGAAUUAGAGUUCGAUUCCGGAGAGGGAGCCUGAGAAAUAGCUACCACAUCUAAGGAAGGCAGCAGGCGCGUAAAUUACCCAAUUCUAAAUAAGAGAGGUAGUGACAAGAAAUAACAAUAUAAGGCCAAAUUUUGGUUUUAUAAUUGGAAUGAUGGGAACUUAAAAUCUUCCCAAAAUUCAAUUGGAGGGCAAGUCUGGUGCCAGCAGCCGCGGUAAUUCCAGCUCCAAUAGCGUAUAUUAAAAUUGUUGCAGUUAAAACGCUCGUAGUUAAAUUUCAAAGGACUAUAAAUAUUGUAAGAACGUGCUUGGUGAGAUUCAUCGUGACUUUGUCAUUGUACUCUGCCUCGUCGUACUUUUAACUAUAGAUUCCUUUGAGAGCCCAAUGAGUCAUCGCUGGGCUCUCGUUACUUUGAGUAAAUUAGAGUGUUUAAAGCAAAUAUAUAAUUAGUAUAAUUACUGUGUUUGAAUACUAUAGCAUGGAAUAACAACAUUGAAUAGGUCAAAAAUUUUUGAAAAAUUUUUCUUGUUUUGGCUUAGAUACAGUUAAUAGGAGUAGAUUGGAGGCAUUUGUAUUCAGAUGCUAGAGGUGAAAUUCUUAGAUUUUCUGGAGACAAACAACUGCGAAAGCAUUUGC
This 993-nucleotide ribosomal RNA is filed under the name Plasmodium chabaudi chabaudi. RNAcentral's name for it is "SSU rRNA". It matches the Rfam family "Eukaryotic small subunit ribosomal RNA", at positions 1 to 958 of the family's 1831-position model. The record is from RNAcentral. Lineage: Eukaryota; Apicomplexa; Aconoidasida; Haemosporida; Plasmodiidae.